This 497-nucleotide ribosomal RNA is filed under the name uncultured bacterium. RNAcentral describes it as "partial 16S ribosomal RNA". It matches the Rfam family "Bacterial small subunit ribosomal RNA", at positions 28 to 507 of the family's 1533-position model. The record is from RNAcentral.
GACGAACGCUGGCGGCGUGCCUAAUACAUGCAAGUUGAGCGAUGAAGAUUGGUGCUUGCACCAAUUUGAAGAGCAGCGAACGGGUGAGUAACGCGUGGGGAAUCUGCCUUUGAGCGGGGGACAACAUUUGGAAACGAAUGCUAAUACCGCAUAAUAACUUUAAACAUAAGUUUUAAGUUUGAAAGAUGCAAUUGCAUCACUCAAAGAUGAUCCCGCGUUGUAUUAGCUAGUUGGCGAGGUAAAGGCUCACCAAGGCGAUGAUACAUAGCCGACCUGAGAGGGGGAUCGGCCAAAAUGGGACUGAGACACGGCCCAAACUACUACGGGAGGCAGCAGUAGGGAAACUUCGGCAAUGGACGAAAGUCUGACCGAGCAACGCCGAGUGAGUGAAGAAGGGUUUCGGAUCGUAAAACUCUGUUGGUAGAGAAGAAAGUUGGUGAGAGUGGAAAGCUCAUCAAGUGACGGUAACUACACAGAAAGGGACGGCUAACUACGUG